Molecule: ribosomal RNA, 585 nt
Filed under: Auricularia delicata
Lineage: Eukaryota; Fungi; Basidiomycota; Agaricomycetes; Auriculariales; Auriculariaceae
Description: eukaryotic LSU rRNA
Rfam family: Eukaryotic large subunit ribosomal RNA
Source: RNAcentral
CCCCUAGUAACGGCGAGUGAAGCGGGAAGAGCUCAAAUUUGAAAUCUGGCGGUCUAAGGCCGUCCGAGUUGUAAUCUAGAGAGGUGUUUUCCGUGCCGGACCGUGUACAAUUCCCUUGGAACAGGGCGUCAUAGAGGGUGAGAAUCCCGUCCAUGACACGGACUACCGGUGCUCUGUGAUACACCUUCAAAGAGUCGAGUUGUUUGGGAAUGCAGCUCAAAAUGGGUGGUAAAUUCCAUCUAAAGCUAAAUACAGGCGAGAGACCGAUAGCGAACAAGUACCGUGAGGGAAAGAUGAAAAGAACUUUGGAAAGAGAGUUAAACAGUACGUGAAAUUGUUGAAAGGGAAACGCUUGGAGUCAGUCGCGUCUGCCAGGACUCAGCCUUGCUUCUGCUUGGUGCACUUCUUGGUGGAUGGGCCAGCAUCGAUUUUGAUCGCCGGAAAAGGGYGGGAGGAAUGUGGCAGCUUUUGCUGUGUUAUAGCCUUCUGUCGUACACGGUGGUUGGGAUCGAGGACUGCAGCACGCCUUUGGUCGGGGUUCGCCCACGCCACGUGCUUAGGAUGCUGGCGUAAUGGCUUUAAACG